Molecule: unclassified non-coding RNA, 253 nt
Filed under: uncultured Caryophanales bacterium
Lineage: Bacteria; Bacillati; Bacillota; Bacilli; Caryophanales
Description: uncultured Bacillales bacterium contains 16S-23S intergenic spacer region
Rfam family: Bacterial small subunit ribosomal RNA
Source: RNAcentral
GACGUAGGUGGCAAGCGUUGUCCGGAAGUAUUGGGCGUAAAGCGCGCGCAGGCGGUCCUUUAAGGCUGAUGUGAAAGCACACGGCUCAACCGUGGAGGGUCAUUGGAAACUGGAGGACUUGAGUACAGAAGAGGAAAGUGGAAUUCCUUGUGUAGCGGUGAAAUGCGUAGAGAUGUGGAGGAACACCAGUGGCGAAGGCGACUUUCUGGUCUGUAACUGACGCUGAGGCGCGAAAGCGUGGGGAGCAAACAGG